Molecule: ribosomal RNA, 512 nt
Filed under: Dinophasma saginatum
Lineage: Eukaryota; Metazoa; Arthropoda; Insecta; Phasmatodea; Aschiphasmatidae
Description: partial large subunit ribosomal RNA
Source: RNAcentral
AACAUCUUCUCUUGUUUUUKAUAUGAGAUUUAUCCUGCCCAGUGAUAUUGUUUUAAAUGGCCGCGGUAUCUUGACCGUGCAAAGGUAGCAUAAUCAUUAGUUCAUUAAUUGUGGACUUGUAUGAAUGGUUUCAUGAAAUAUUAACUGUCUCUAUAAUAUUAAUAUAAUUUAACUUUUUAGUUAAAAGGCUUAAAUUUAUUUAUGGGACGAGAAGACCCUAUAGAUCUUUAUUUAUUAAAUUAUUUAUUUAUUUGGUUAAUUUUAUUUAAGUUAUUUAUUUAAUUUUGUUGGGGUGACAUUGAGAUAUAAAAAACUCUUUAUUGUUUUUACAUUAAUUUAUGUUUUAUUAAAUUUUUAUUAUUUUAUUUAGAAUUAGAUACCUUAGGGAUAACAGCGUAAUUUGAUUUGAGAGUUCUUAUUGACAAUUAAGAUUGCGACCUCGAUGUUGGAUUAAGAAAUAUUUUUGAUGUAGAAGUUUUAGUAAUUAGGUCUGUUCGACCUUUAAAUUCUUC